AGGCCCUGUUCGUUUCUCCAUUUUGCAUAUCCAUCCAGAUGAUCCAUUCAAAUAAUCUAUCUGGAUGAUUCAUCUCUUCUCCAAAUGAUGAAACGAACAAGAUAUGAAAUGAUUUAUCUGGAUGAUUUAUCUGAAUGGAGAUGUGUUUGUUUCUCCAUUUUGCAUAUCCAUCCAGAUAGAUUUAACUUUAAAAAUGACUAAACUACCCAUAUUUUGAUUUAAUAAUUUUCUCACAUUAAUAUUAAUCAUAGUAUUUUUAAAUAUUGAUAAAAAAUAUAUAUACACUUAGAAAGUUUACAAAUUAAUAUUUUUGACAUUUCUAGAUAUUUAUUUUCAUGAAAUCUUUUUUUUUUUUUUAAAUUAAAACAAUUUAUAUCAAUUAGGAAUAUAACAACAUCAAUAAUUCAAU
This 409-nucleotide long non-coding RNA is filed under the name Capsella grandiflora. RNAcentral describes it as "long non-coding RNA (CGRA_LNC001713)". The record is from RNAcentral. Lineage: Eukaryota; Viridiplantae; Streptophyta; Magnoliopsida; Brassicales; Brassicaceae.